AGUUAAAGAUGUUUCCAGUGAAAGGGGGACCAGCUAACUGCAGGCCUUCACAGACAAUGCGACCUACUACUGAUUUCUCCAUACUACCUCCAUAUUUGAAGAAUGUCUUCCUGGAACCGUAUCCAUGUGACUUGAUGGAAACUUGGAAAGCACCCUAAUCACAAAGCCAUAUAUUCACAGCCAAUUUCAAGGGUUAAAGUUGGAUACAGAAUAAGAAGCUUGGGGAGAUGAGGCUUGGGAGUUGAAAUCCAGUGUGGAAAACAAGAUGAAUUAACUUCCCAGGCUGCAUGAGUAUUCACAUUUCUGAUUGAGUUGCAGCAGGUUUGUUUCUUCUUUUGACCUCAGAAGCCGUUUGGAAUCUUUGGAGGAACUUCACGUCAUCUUUUAAGUUUUGCUUAUGGGUGUCAGGAGGGCUAGCACCAGAAUUUAAUAGAGGUGGCUCCAAGGGGACUACAGUAUCAAUAAUCUUGUCACAGACCCACUGCUGCAGUUUCUUGUACAGGCUAAGUCCCACUUCAUUCACACUCAUGCUUUUAGCAUCACAGCUAGCCAUAUUUUGAAUUGAUGGUCUGGAACCCUUUGCCUGAGUAAAGCAGAAAGUCUUUCACAUUUUUUCUGUUAGAAAAGCUUCAUAUCACCAUUAACAAAUGCUUUAUAUACUUGACCAGUAGCUGCUUCUCAGUAGGCCAGCUGGUGAGGCAUUUUCUUGGCAUUAUUUUUAUUUUGCAUUUUGAUUUUUGGAGAUGAACCAAAUGCCAUUUUUAAUUGCUGCUGGAGGCAUUUUGUUGAAGGAUUACUUUUUGGUUCCUUCAUCUUCGUCAUCUGUUUCAUCUUCUUCAUAUCAUUUCCUGAUGUUUCUGCAACUUUAGAAGCAUUUGCAUCUGAAUUUCUUGUCCUUUUCAUGAUUUCUUCAAUUCUAUUAUUCCAUUCUAAUCUUUCCAGCAGGCUCUCUCUCUUGAACCUCUCAUGUUCCGGGAGUUCCUCCUCUACAAUUCCUCUGGACCUCUCUUCCUGAGGGAAAACUAAUAAAAAAGGGUUAUGGGGACAAACUAAAUCCCCCGUCACUCAGUUGGUCUCAGGGUCGCAAUUGCUGGUCAUCUUUCACAUCCUUCACUACCCAUUUCAAAUUCUACUCUCCUCCAGCUGUCACUUCACGGGUCUUAGUGGCAUACCUGGGUGUGACCGAAAUCCUCAUUCCUUAUUCAAGUGUAUAUUUUUUGGUAAUUAUGCACAUCUCACACUGGAAUUGCUGUACAUUUCUUUCCACUGUUACAAUUAAGUAUCAAGAGGCUCUCAAGUGGAUCACCUAGGGUACACAUACAUUUUUCCCUGCCCACUGUAUAAAAGCAGCCCCUCCUCUUCCUGUUGAUCUAGGUCAGUUACCCCUGCCAAGAUGGGGACUCCUCUUCUAGCCUGCUGGUGCCUGGGCACAGAAAGAAUCCAAAGUGACUGAACAAUAGCCAUAGCUUACAGUUCAAUGGGACCCUUGUUGUGUUCCCUGGCAAAGUGUACCCCCUAUGGGGACCAGAACUUUUAAACUCUCAAAGCUCAGAGUUGUGGGAACAGGAAACACAAAGUCCCCCAGUGACUCAUUAGGAAGUAAUGUUAAGAGGGACCACUUCCCUUCUGCUUGUACCUUGACCCAUGUAUUCUUUCUAUUAGGGACAAUUCCUUUAGGGAUCUCUGGUUUAGUGUGUAUACUGCAUCCUGAAGGAUGGCACUCUGUCCUUGCAGAAUAUUGCCUCUGAACCAGCACUUAAGCUAUACCUUCAGUAGGUUACCCAGUGUUCUUUCAGGCUGGCUCUGGAUAGUGCCAUAUGUGAUACAACCAGUAGAUCCCUUGGUCAUGAGUUCACAACCACACCACCUUUAUUAUGAAGUGAGUCCCCUGUUUGGAUGCUAUGUCGAGUUGGAUCCCAUUCCUGUGAUCAGGCCUUCUUUAAGCCCCUAGAUAGUGGUAUGGGCUGAGGAUCUGCAGGCAAGAAAGGCAAACUCAUACCCAGAACAGGUAUUUGUCUCUGUGAGGAUGAACUGCUGGCCACUCCAGAAUGGAAAGGGCCCAGUGUUGUUGAUGUGCCACCAAGUGGCUGGUUUAUCUCCUCAAAUAAUAGUGCCAUAUCAGAGAUUUGAUGUUGAUCUCUGUUGCUAGAAAGUUAGACUUUCAGAGACAAGCGGCUAGAUUGGCCUUGGUAAGUAGGAAUUUAUGUUGUUUGGCUCAUGUGUAGCCUUCAUCUCUGUAAACAUAGCCAUUUCACUCAUGUUCCAUUGUGCCACUUUUGGAGUGGGCCAUGACAAAGCUUGGCUAGCAUCAACUGGUAGAAUCUUUUUGUCUGCUAGGUUGUUCAGUUCCUCUUCCAUAGUGGAUGCUUUCUGGUUGGAACGAACACGUGAUACAAAAACCUUCACCCUUCAUGCCUGCUCUCAUGUGUUCAUGCACAUGCCUCUACUCCAGACUCCUUGUCUCCAGUCUUCCAGUCUUUUCCUUCAGGAUCCUGACCAGCCAGCUAGGCCAUUGCCACUGCCAAGGAUCUAUAAACUCUCACAAGUCACUUCUCCUUUCACACAAGUGAAUGACCAGGCACACUGCUUGAAGCUUUGCCCAUUAGGAAGAUUUUCCCUCUCUGCUGUCUUCUAGGGCCAUCCCUGAUUGUGGCUGUACUUUACUACCUUCUGUUUCAGCUUCCACCCACAUACCAAGCCAACCCAUUCAUAAACAAGGCUUGAGCAUUUUUCCUCUUCCCUCAGCUAGCUAGACUUGACUUCCUCCAUAGACAGUGCAGCCUGAGGAAGGGGUGCUGGUGCAAAAGUGGUGUGUGAUAUAGGGGCUGGAUUACUAAUUCAUGCAGUUUAUUCAUGCCCUCUGGUCAUAUUGGGUUUGAUUUUGAAUGCGUCAUUUCCAUAUUACAAUGAACUGCUCCUGGGCCCAUCAGCACUUUAUGACUGAGUGUCUCCAAAAGAACUUAGCUCAUAAGGGACAGUUCUGGACACAUGGUAACUUGGUACCCCAUGGUCAAGCUUUCUGCCUCUACUAGGGCCUAAUACCACACCAGGUACUGUUUCUUGAAAGGAGUAAAAUCCUCUGCUGCAGAUGGCAUGGCCUUGCUCCAAAACCACAGAGGCCUGUGUUGUGAUUUCCCACUGAGAUUUGCUGUUAACUCCAUAUUGACUGCUGUAGAGUCCUUUGCUGCUUCAGGCUUCACUCAGAGAAGGCAGCCUUCCAUGUUGCCCAGGAUAUGAGCCAGAGCAGCAUUCCUAGGUGUGGAAUUUGGUUCUUCCAGAAUCCCAAAGAGGCCCACCAGCAUUGUACUUCAUUAUAGUGGAAGACACAAGAUAUAGAAAUUUGUCUUUUCUCUGGAGAGAAUAUCUUCAUAAACCACUGACUACUGGACCUCUGAAAACUUUACAAAAAUGUCAAGUCCUUGAAUCUUCUUAAGGUUUAUUUACCCUCCUCCGGAUGCAUGUGUCUUACAAGAGCCUCUAGCAUACAAGCCGCCUCUUGCCCAUCCUGCCCAGUCAGCAUAUUAUUGAUAUAACAUACCAAUAUGAUGUUGUGCAGGAUGUCCAGACAUUUCAGAUCUCUUCAGGCUGUAUUAUGAUAGAGGGUAA
This is a long non-coding RNA of Cynocephalus volans (Philippine flying lemur), 3606 nucleotides long. RefSeq lists it as uncharacterized. Lineage: Eukaryota; Metazoa; Chordata; Mammalia; Dermoptera; Cynocephalidae. The record is from RefSeq and is a predicted model, not a curated record. The transcript has 3 exons.